GUGGGGAAUAUUGCACAAUGGGGGAAACCCUGAUGCAGCAACGCCGCGUGAGUGAUGAAGGCCUUCGGGUUGUAAAGCUCUGUCUUUGGGGACGAUAAUGACGGUACCCAAGGAGGAAGCCACGGCUAACUACGUGCCAGCAGCCGCGGUAAUACGUAGGUGGCAAGCGUUGUCCGGAUUUACUGGGCGUAAAGGGAGCGUAGGUGGAUAUUUAAGUGGGAUGUGAAAUCCCCGGGCUUAACCUGGGGGCUGCAUUCCAAACUGGAUGUCUAGAGUGCAGGAGAGGAGAGUGGAAUUCCUAGUGUAGCGGUGAAAUGCGUAGAGAUUAGGAAGAACACCAGUGGCGAAGGCGACUCUCUGGACUGUAACUGACACUGAGGCUCGAAAGCGUGGGGAGCAAACAGGAUUAGAAACCCGGGUAGUCC
RNAcentral lists this ribosomal RNA (425 nucleotides) under uncultured bacterium. RNAcentral describes it as "partial 16S ribosomal RNA". It matches the Rfam family "Bacterial small subunit ribosomal RNA", at positions 354 to 796 of the family's 1533-position model. The record is from RNAcentral.